UGGGUACGCGUUGCACCUAUUGGUGUACCUA
RNAcentral lists this non-coding RNA (31 nucleotides) under Homo sapiens (human). Lineage: Eukaryota; Metazoa; Chordata; Mammalia; Primates; Hominidae. The record is from RNAcentral.